CUACGGAGGGUGCAGGCGUUACUCGGAAUCACUGGGCGUAAAGCGCGCGCAGGCGGCUUGAUAAGUUGGAUGUGAAAGCCUACGGCUCAACCGUAGAACUGCAUCCAAAACUGUCAGGCUCGAGUGUGGGAGAGGAAGAUGGAAUUAGUCGUGUAGGGGUAAAAUCCGUAGAGAUAACUAGGAAUACCAAAAGCGAAGGCAAUCUUCUGGAACACUACUGACGCUGAGGCGCGAAGGCGUGGGGAGCAAACAGGAUUAGAAACCCCAGUAGUCC
RNAcentral lists this ribosomal RNA (274 nucleotides) under uncultured bacterium. RNAcentral describes it as "partial 16S ribosomal RNA". It matches the Rfam family "Bacterial small subunit ribosomal RNA", at positions 523 to 796 of the family's 1533-position model. The record is from RNAcentral.